GAGAGAGAGAGAGAGAGAGAGAGAGAGAGAGAAGUGGUAGUGAAGGAAUAAUUCAGGUUGUUUGCAAAUUCAGAUAGAGUGAGAAAGGAUUUUUUUUUGGGUGUGUGUGUUCUUUAGAGUUGUGGGGAUGAACGGAUGAGGACUUUGAAAAUGUGACCUAGGCAUAGAGACAGGUGGCCAUGAAGUAAUGGAGCCCUUCUGCCAUUUUCUAGAGAGUUGGGGGCACCGUCCUCAGAAAUAUUUUGGUUCUUUACUAGAGACAGAGAGAGAGAGGUUUAAUAGAAGUAUGCAAGCUAAUUGCUGUAAGUUUAGCAAACUCAUUUUUUUUAUUUCAUUAAUCACAAGAAUAGGGAAAGUGUUUAUGUGCUCGGUCUUCUUGGUGUGAAGUGAGUUUAGAUGCAUUGUGCAGGCUAAGAUGUUAGAUAACCGAUGGUUACCAGGUCCUUGUGCAUCAAUUACUGGCAAUGCGUGCUUUGAAGCCUUUGUUGCAUGGUGGUCGAAAGUUUUGAAAUCCAACCAGAAAGCGAACAGAGAUGAGAGCACAUAUAAUGUGCUCCCCAUGGAGCAAAUUGGAUCCAAUUGAAAAAUAAAUAAUUUAUUUGGGGUUUUAUUAUUAUUAUUUUAUUUUAUCAUUUUGGCAAAGAUUGGAAAGUGUUUGGCCAUAAAUAUUUAUUUUUAUAUUUUCCCUUUUUCUUUUGGAUUAUUUUAAAAAUAUAUCCAGUUAAAAGUUGAUUUUUUAAAAUCUAAUUUUUUUUUUACUUAAUCUUACUCUAAACAUACAUUUCCUUUUUCUAUUGUUUUUUUUAUAAUUUUUUGACCUUUUCUAACACUGCUCCCACCGGAGUGAAGCAUGCGCUCCCUCCCAGGAAACAUCACUUUGAUUCAUGAAGCCAUUUUUUACUUUGGUUUGAUUUCAG
Molecule: long non-coding RNA, 917 nt
Filed under: Amborella trichopoda
Lineage: Eukaryota; Viridiplantae; Streptophyta; Magnoliopsida; Amborellales; Amborellaceae
Description: long non-coding RNA (ATRI_LNC001129)
Source: RNAcentral